CGCGUAGGUGGUUUGUUAAGUCGGAUGUGAAAGCCCCGGGCUCAACCUGGGAAUUGCAUUCGAUACUGGCAGACUAGAGUAUGGUAGAGGGAAGUGGAAUUCCGGGUGUAGCGGUGAAAUGCGUAGAUAUCCGGAGGAACAUCAGUGGCGAAGGCGACUUCCUGGACCAAUACUGACACUGAGGUGCGAAAGCGUGGGUAGCAAACA
RNAcentral lists this ribosomal RNA (207 nucleotides) under uncultured bacterium. Its description in RNAcentral is "partial 16S ribosomal RNA". It matches the Rfam family "Bacterial small subunit ribosomal RNA", at positions 568 to 774 of the family's 1533-position model. The record is from RNAcentral.